CUGUCAUUAUUGGCUAAAGGAGCAGUGGAUACAUCAUCCUCAGAAGGAAUUACAAGAUCAACGUCUUCUUGAAAAUCAAUGGUACCCAAACUCUCAGGGAGACUGGAUAUUUUCUGAGGUAAGGACGCAAUAGUUCUAAAACCAGGUGUCUCGAGAUCAUUUGACUGAGCUUUAGCAUCAAGAGGUGACGUCAAAACCAGUUCUAUACUAUUUUCAUUCAUAGCAGAUUCUUCGGCGACAGGUAUCACUUGCUCUUUUUCAAGAGGAAAUUCAGAAGUAGGUGUUUCUAAUAGCCUGCAAAUCUCUUUAUUGACCUUUUCUGAAACAGCAAGAGCAUUUUUAGUUUCAAGAGAAAAAACAGUUAUUGUGUCGGAUUUGUUUUUCAUGGGAAUAUCAGAAUCUCCAUUUUCAUCUGCCAAUGAUUUUUCAACAUUAUCAGCUGCAACAAGAAUAUUUUUAACCUCGACAUUAUCGCUGUGUUUUCCUUUCUUUUUCUUCUUACGACGUUUACUUCUGUCAUUAUUGACUAAAGGAGCGGUGGAUACAUCAUCCUCAGAAGGAAUUACAAGAUCAACGUCUUCUUGAAAACCAAUGGUACCCAAACUCUCAGGGAGACUGGAUAUUUUCUGAGGUAAGGACGCAAUAGUUCUAAAACCAGGUGUCUCGAGAUCAUUUGACUGAGCUUUAGCAUCAAGAGGUGACGUCAAAACCAGUUUUAUACUAUUUUCAUUCAUAGCAGAUUCUUCGGCGACAGGUAUCACUUGCUCUUUCUCAAGAGGAAAUUCAGAAGUAGGUGUUUCUAAUUGCCUGCAAAUCUCUUUAUUGACCUUUUCUGAAAUAGCAAGAGCAUUUUUAGUUUCAAGAGAAGAAACAGUUAUUGUGUCGGAUUUGUUUUUAAUGGGAAUAUCAGAAUCUCCAUUUUCAUCUGCCAAUGAUUUUUCAACAUUAUCAGCUGCAACAAGAAUAUUUUUAACCUCGACAUUAUCGCUGUGUUUUCCUUUCUUUUUCUUCUUACGACGUUUACUUCUGUCAUUAUUGACUAAAGGAGCGGUGGAUACAUCAUCCUCAGAAGGAAUUACAAGAUCAACGUCUUCUUGAAAACCAAUGGCACCCAAAUUCUCAGGGAGACUGGAUAUUUUCUGAGGUAAGGACGCAAUAGUUCUAAAACCAGGUGUCUCGAGAUCAUUUGACUGAGCUUUAGCAUCAAGAGGUGACGUCAAAACCAGUUCCUUACUAUUUUCAUUCAUAGCAGAUUCUUCGGCGAAAGAUAUCACUUGCUCUUUUUCAAGAGGAAAUUCAGAAGUGGGUGUUUCUAAUUGCCUGCAAAUCUCUUUAUUGACCUUUUCUGAAACAGCAAG
Molecule: long non-coding RNA, 1358 nt
Filed under: Zostera marina
Lineage: Eukaryota; Viridiplantae; Streptophyta; Magnoliopsida; Alismatales; Zosteraceae
Description: long non-coding RNA (ZMAR_LNC002814)
Source: RNAcentral